AGUCCGAAGAACAUCUCGUCUUCUUCUCCUCUUCUUCGAUUCUUUCACCCUGUGUCAAUUCUUCUUAAUUCUCCAUGAAUUCAGAGAUGUUUUUGAUGAAUCUAAGUGAAGACUGGUACCCGAUUGCCGAUUCAUUCAGGUUGCAGAAUCAACAAAGUUUAGAUAUUUAUCAAUUUUACCAAGAAAAACGAAAAUGUAUAUUUUGUGUCUCUCGUUUUGAAGAUGUAUUUCUUUUGGCAGAGUUGGAACAAAAGUUGGGACGAAUGGAUAAGUCUGGACUGUCUGUUGAAA
Camelina sativa (false flax) is the source of this 291-nucleotide long non-coding RNA. RefSeq lists it as uncharacterized. NCBI's taxonomy places the organism in Eukaryota, Viridiplantae, Streptophyta, Magnoliopsida, Brassicales, Brassicaceae. The record is from RefSeq and is a predicted model, not a curated record.